This is a long non-coding RNA of Gasterosteus aculeatus aculeatus (three-spined stickleback), 13288 nucleotides long. NCBI's taxonomy places the organism in Eukaryota, Metazoa, Chordata, Actinopteri, Perciformes, Gasterosteidae. The record is from Ensembl.
AUGCUCAACCUUAUUCUCCACCGCCCACCUUUUGACCUGAAACCUCAAACUCCCCCAAAUAAAUUCUUACCCGCCCACCUAACCCCCCCUCGGUCCUGUUCGGUCCUGUCCCGUAAACCUAACCUCACCUUCUCCCCCUGAACUCACCUCUUCCCCUCCCUCCGACCCACCAAACUCUCCCCCCCUCCCCCUCCUGCCCCGCCAGCUGUAACCCCGAGCUUACCUUUAAACGCGGUUAGCCCCGCCCCUCUCGACCCCUGAACACACCUCAGCUCGCCCAGUGUGGCCCCCUCUCCCGUUUGAACUCGCCCAUAACGUCCCACUGAACUUCAACACUUGUGUCUUUUCUCCCACACGUCCCACAGCAGACGGCAGAAGUAGCUCCACUUGGAAUAUCUACUUAAAUGCUGGUGUUCAUUCAUAUUGAGAGAAUUCCCCAUAAAAGGCCUUUGAUCUCAUCGUCCCGUUUUUCUCCUUCCUUGUAAACAGAAACGUCGUUGGAGGGUCAGACGCUCGUUAGACAUCCGUCGGGUUUCUCUCGAAAUCCACAUUCUCACAUUCUGAGGUUAUAACAUUCACAGCUGAGAGGCCUUAUGGAUUCGUCCAAUGCUGAAGCGCGCGCACACGCACACACACACACACACACACACACACACAGGGCAGCUCGUGUUUUCUGGUUGACCUUCGCCUCGCUCUUCUGUGCUCUCACCUCGUAAUUUAGCGCUUAUUUUCACAUUGCACGCACACAGGUAGAGAAACACAAACUCUCUGCAAACCACCGAUACAGACAUCCAGGGGGCCGGUCUCACCUCGACGGGUUAUCUCUCUCUUCUAGCCCCCCCCCCCACACACACACAGUGUGCGCUGACCCCGGAGCAGCUCAUUGAAGUCCCAAUAAAACACGGAGGAAUCGUCGGCACGCAACUUGACAUUCUAGUGGUUUGUUUGGAUAACCUCACACACACACACACACACACACACACACACACACGCACACACACACACUCGUUCUGCAGCACACAGUAUUUUACAUUUACGACUCUCCAGAUCCUGAGAGACCCCACUGCCUCGCUCGGCCUUCGGCGCUGCCCUCUGGUCCACCCCGCCACACACACACACAAACACACACACACGCGCACACAUACACACACACACUCUCUUUCCCAGCAAUUAUCUUCAAACUAAACACUGGCUCAGAAGCGGUAACAACAGAGCAGAGCUAUUGUGAGCACCGUACUUUUUUUGUCAGGUUGUUGCUACACUGACAUUUUUUAGGACUUUACGUCCACGGGAGACCAAUGAAUGGAAAGUGCUAAAUAUUCGCCUUCAAAUACACAAUAUCGAUUAAACGCAGGCAUACUUCGUUAUGACUUGACAAACGAUUCACUUACCUUCAGAAAUAUUCCUUUAUAAAACACAACUCUUAAUGGGACUCGGAGGCCUGUUCAGUCUCUGCACAACAAAUGUUAUGUUCUCAUAACUCUGGACGGACAUUUCGCUUUUUUUAAAUCAAAAUCUUGUGUUCGGCUUCUCCUUCGGAGUUUGGAAGUGGUUUGAAGUCGGGUUGUUGAAUAGAAGUCAAUGGCCGUAAAAUGUGCAGUCCUCCUCUUGAUGUAUAAAUCACACCGGUAACGAUAUUCCUAAAUGUUCCUCCUUAAUUGCUGUUUGCACAUGCACACGUGUGUGUUUGUGCUCUACUUUAGACAACUAAAGGCUGCACGCACUAUUUUGUUGGCCUGUGUGUGUGUGUCUGUGUGUGUACUCCUGUUCCCCCUGCUGUGUGUUCCAGGUCUGUACUUAUGAGUCUCUCCCUGAGAACUAAAUCUUCUAUAACUUUCACCUCAACAUGACCUUCGAUUUAAGUGUGUGAGUGUGUAAACGGCGUAAUCAUUACCUCACCCUGACCUGUGUGUGUGUGUGUGUGUGUGUGUGUGCGCGCUUUUUAUGUCACCUAAUCCUGACCUCGACCUCUUGACAACACUCUCUUUCACGAUAUAAAACACUGUAAUGGUGGCGUUUUUCACUUCAAAAGGCGCACACUGAGGUUUCGGGGGAAACACAUCAGUCAUUUUACGCGUUCAGGUUAUGAGAACGCAGACACCAAAAUCAUCCGCGUGCACCUCGUACAUCAUCCCGUGCACUUCAACGUGGACCAGGGCCCCUCUAAAGUCUGUCAUUUGAAGGCACCAGGAGUUUCAGGACCUCAGAUCGUGUAACGCUGAUACUUUUGGGUCAAUAAAUAUGUCGCAUAGAUUUGUAUCUGUCUUAUAGAUUUAAGGGGAGCAAAUUCAGCAGUGGUUCUGCCACAAGCGCCAAUUAAGGGGGUUGUGGUCGAUGUCAGAAGCCUGUGUAACGUCAGCACACGAGUCCAAAGGUGGGAUUCUUAUUUAGGAUCAGCUUCCACUAAAUGGCACCAUGAGAUGAGAAGGUCAGGUGAGUGGGUCGCAGGGGGGUGAGGGAGUGACCCACCCACUCGCGUUGGGGGAAUGAGUGGGUAACCGGGCGGCUAGAUGGGUGGGUAUGAGUGCAGUUGGGUAGUUGGGUAUGUGCGCGGUUGGGUAAGUGGGUGGGAUGUGAGUAGAAGAAGGUACAUAUUAUUUUAUUUCUAGGUCACUAUUUCCUAAUGUUUAACUGCUGUAUUUAGACAGAAAAUGUAACAAAGUAUAACCAGAAGUGAGACCCAACAACAGUUUCCACACAAAGGCAGUUCUUUAAAUAUGUAUUUUUGUGUUAUGAUGAAACACACUCUUCUUUUUGGAGGCCAACUCCUUUCAGCUCCGCAUAACGUGGCGAAUCCUCAUUUGUGGUUUCAUGCAGACAACGCGGCUGCCAUCGCAGAAUAAAGCCUUGACAUGAUAACGCUUCCAGCUAAAACACAGCGAAACCACGGACAUCUGUGAGGAGAGUCGCCCGUCAGUCCCUGAGAACACGUGCAGCGGCGCGCACAAAGGAGAGGACUUCACCUUCGGCCUCCCACCGCGUGAGGAAACGUCCCGCUCGCCCUCGACCGGCGCCGUGGUUAGUGUUACUGUCUCCUCUGCCGGAGUUCAGCGGCGGACGGUCCGACCGCAGACGAUUCGCAGACGCGUUCACCGCCACCUUCCCCCCCGACUGUCCUCGCCUCCUUGUUCCGCUGCUGGAAAGCACGAGGUGCCCGUUUAAGCCCCCCAAAAUCCUCUCGGCCCGGCGGGUCUUUUGCUUCUGGAAUGCGCAGCACUGAGAAUGUAUUUGAAGCGGGACGAAUUUCCCUCGAGCGGUGAAAAAGAUGUGUUUGAAGGUCGGGUUGGAGGUCGGGUUGGAGGACGGGUUGGAGGUCGGGUACGAGGACGGGUCGGAGGACGGGUCGGAGGACAAGUUGGGGGUCGGGUUGGAGGUCGGGUUGGAGGACGGGUUGGAGGACGGGUUGGAGGACGGGUUGGAGGACGCGUGGAGUCGGUUCGGGCGUCGCUCGUCGAGGCCUCGCUGCCAGAUCUUACGGCAGGAUUAUGACGUCUCGUAAAUACUUCGACACAAAGCGGCCACGCAAUGAAAUACGCGGGCCGCCGUGUGCGAUCCAGCACGCCGUCCUCCCUGAAGGUCCAUUUCAUAUUCAUAAAUAAUGACGAAAAGUCCGACGCAAGAGAAAAUAACGUUGUCCUCGUACAGGGCCUUUAUUUCAAUAAUCCACACAUUCCGACAGGCUUCCCCUCCCGAACCACCUCUGUAAGCGUUUUAUCAUCACCACCACAUCUGGGGUGGGCAUUCGUCAAGGACAGAAACAUUGCGUCUUUACCUAAACAAGUACAACAAUUUAUAGCUUUCUAACUUUUAAAAUAGCACGCCGUGAAAGUUUUUACUGCUACUGACGUUGUAGUGAGGUUUGGACACACUCUGAUCUCAUCAAACAUGACUUCAGGGACGUUAAAUCAGCCCGUUUUAUCUCCGAGAGGAAGCCUUGACGUUUUUUACAAUGGGGAUUUACAGCUAACAAUAACUUCCUGCUGGGGACUCAAAGACUACAAAUAGAUGCAACAUUCAUAAAACGUUAUUUCUAUUGACAUUCUCAGGCAAUUAGAAGGGAUUGUAAUGAGCAACAUUUACAUGUGUGGAGGAAAAAGGCCUUUAAUGUUUAAUGGGUUUCAUCUUGAGCACAUAUAGUAUAUCAUGUGUUCAUACGUUUGGAUAAUUAACUGAUACCUAAUACAUGUUGAUGCAUAUUGCAAUGACUUUAUUUAAGAUGCUUUGUACUUUAUUUGGGAUAUUUUACUAAAUUUCUUUGGAUAUUUUAGUGAAUUUGCACAGAAUGUCACCAAAUAGCUUUUUACUGUCUUUUACUGUUUUCUUUUAGUGUAGGGUCUUACUAACAAUUUCCAGAUAUUUUUUGGGGGGCUACAUUUUCAGAGUGAUUGAAUUAGUUCCAACGAUGUCGUAAAAGUGAAUCCCGUAUAAACGUCAACCCCGCGCCGCCGUAACUGAUGUAGUGCCCCUGUGUUUAAAGACGGAGGCUCAGCCAAUCGGCUGCCUGCUUCAGAAUCACGGCCAACGUGGCGUCCAGCUGAAAUUAAAAAGAGCCGAGCCGCGGCCGCUCGCUCACUUCAACGGUUGUUGUUCCUCAAGCGGCAAAAAACAACAAACAAAAAAAAAGCAUCAUUCAUGGUUUUCAGAGGCAUCUCCGGCAAAUCCGGCCCACCUGUGUUUCCUUGACACGAGAGCUGUGUGUGUGUUUGUGUGUAAAUGCGUGUGUGUGUGCGUGAUUGGUUAUUAUGUUAUUUUGUCAACAGAACAGUUUUUAACAAGCACGUGGGCAUGAGCACCAAAUAGGUGAAUACAAAAAACAAAAAAAAGGAAUUACACUAUAAACACCAGCAGGAACGAGUGGGUCAGGGUUUAUGUGUGUGUGUGUGUGUUCCUGUGCGUGUUUGUGUGUGCUCUAUAAAGCGAUAGCGGAAUGUGCUCUCACUCUUUAAUGAGGUUCAUCAAAAACAGUCAGGCGUCAAGAAAUGAGCCUCUUCACACGCAACGAGGGACGGGGGGGACGGGGGGGAGGGCUCUAUCUCACACAUGGGAAGUAACGAACGGUCAAUAAACAGACCGCCGCGUUGGUCAGUUUAAAAACCUCAUUACACCAGCAAGGAAGAUCAGGUUUUUGGGGCCUUUUCUUGGCUCCAAAAGCAGACAUGCAGCACGAAUACAGGCGUCAAAUAGAAGGUGUGUGCAGCAUCCUCACGUCGGAUAGAGUCACGUGACCCGGUGGUGGGAAAGAGUAAUGCAGCCUCAAAGAAAAGACGCUUUGAAAAUGUGCAUUUCCAACGCGUUGGCACCGCCCGCGGAGGCCCCCGGUGAUACAAAACCAAGCGGGUGCGAAUGUUUUUGCCCAGAACGAAACCGGGAGGAACGCGCAGGGAGCCAGUGGAGGGAGAAAGUGACAAUAUGAGAGAUUUAAGGCGAGUUGGGACAAGAAAAAGAGGCUGAUUUACUGGAACAAAAAGAAGCGAUCAAGGAGAAAGAAGACGCAGUGAAGAUUUGUGAUUGAGCUUUUCUCUCCAAAUCUGAAAAAGUUCUCCGUCUUGGUUCCCCAUGAUGACGCUAAAUCUCAAAGCCCACAUUGUACCGCCUGCAUGCGGUUGUGUGUGUGUGUGUGUGUGUGUGUAUAUAAAUCAACAGCAUGUUUUCUUUCACUCUGCUCCAGUGGAAUAUUUUUUUAAUGAGUUGUUUUAUUCCCGACUCCCGACCGUCACAUGAACGCUGACGCACCGUCGGAGACAAGCGUAUGAAACGGGGGGACGGAGGACUUAUAGAGGCCGAGGGACACACACACACACACACACACACACAGAUCAACUCCUGCUUUGAUCGGCCGUAUACUUGUGUUUUAUUUUAUAAAAGUUCUCUUCUCUGUUGCACGGAUCCAAAAUGCAACAAACACACACACACACACACACAAAAUGUGCUGGCAGGGGAAAAAUGUUUGAUGUCGAAAUACAGUUUGUAAUCUGCACCAAACAUUCUCGGAAAGGACGUUUUGUACAUGUGUCUGAACAUAUACACGAGAAGAGAAAAACAACCGAAGGCGCGCCAAAACAUCCAGGUCUUCACAACAGCUUCAGAGAUACUUCACAGGUUGUGACCUCAUUCGCCUUCCUAUCAGCCCUCUUAUCUAUGUGUGUGUGUGUGUGGUGUCGUGUCAGAUAGGAUGUCUGAUCUUUUAUCGCUCUGGCUGCAGAAUCACCUGCCAGAUGAACCGGCGGGUUCAGCCUGCGAGAGCUUCGGGGCCUCGACAUCCCCGGGACGGCCGGAGGCCGCGGCGAGACAACACGAGGAUGCAGAUUAAACGUCAGCGCGAACCGCUUACGAAAAACAGUCCGGAGCGUUUGUGCGGUCCUGCUCCUGAAAUAUUUUGCCGUUAUUUCUUCUCUCAGUUUGGCGCAUUGAGGCAACGAAACUCUCUUGAACGCCGGCGGCGCUGAAUGUCAAACGUCACAGGAGAGAUUGUCUCGUUUUGUAAAGCAGAAAUGAAGAAUUCUGGGGAAUUUUAUCUCGCAAUAAUCUCUGGAAAACAAAUUUCAUUUCAAACUACAAAACUACAACAACAAUCAGACACUUCUCUGCCCCAAAGUAGCUAAAUAAAUUCACCUUUUCACCAUUUGAAUGAAUACUGGAGCCAGUGGGAAACCACAACUUCCCAGAGUCAGCCAACGAGGUCCAACAUUAAAACCUGUGAGCUUUUAGAGGGCUGCUCGGCCUAUUCUGUACAGUCGUUUUCUUCAUUUUCCCCUCUGAAUGCUAAGCUACGCUAAUGGUCUUGUGGCCCUCGCUUCGUACAGACUCGAGAGUGGCAUCAAUCUUCUCAUUAGCUCUUGGCAUGAAAGCGGACAACGUGCGUUUCCCAUGUUGAACAAUGGCUUUGACAAAAUAAAUAAAGGGUCACAUUCCGCGGAUCAAACGAUGCCUCGCUGCAGCGACGAGCUGAUUGGAUUUGCCACGAGGUCUUUUUCAGGUUGUCAAGGCACCGCAAGCAUCUUUGAGUUUGGCACCCGGGUGGAUUUACCAGAAGUUACACAGUCAUCAUGUCUGCAGAUCCACCGAGGAAACCAAACGCCUGUCGGGACCUCACCACUUCUUUGUGUCCCUCCCUGAUUCAAUCAGCUUUGUUGGAUGCAGAUUUCUCGGACUGAUACAAGUGGGCGCAAUAUUUACUUUUCUUACACAGUAAACAUCUUUCUAUUUAGUCUACCAGGUCGCUGAUGUGUUUGAGCCAAACUUUGUUAGUGUGAGGUUGGUCCUGGCUGGAGGUUUAUUUUAGGGCAACAUUUGUGUGUUUUUUCGGAUGUGGAUCAGAUCACUUUGAGGCUCUUUGACGGUAACUUUGUGUUUUGACUCGCGUCUGUGUUCACGGUCUGGUAAUUUUGUGUUUUGUAUGUUCUGCCCACAGACUGUAUAUAAGGAGGGGACAUCGGUUGGUCUUUGACGCAUCUAGUUUGACAUUGGGGUUUAGUCUUGUUUGAGCCAGAAGUUACCAUAUUUGGACAAGGUUGAGUCCAACGAGGCCCGGGAGGGCCAGAUCCUGUUAGCAGCUAAUGCUAUCGCUAGCUGGGUUAUCAAAAAGUAUCUGUAAAUUCACAUUAGCUAAACUUAGCAAUUCAAAUCUAAGUUAAGAAAAAACAGGCUUGUUUGAAGUGUGGUGUUAGAGAGUUAGAGAGCUGUCAAUCACAGUGCUUCAUGGUCUAUUAUACCCUAAUAAUUUACUAAGUGAACAUCAUGCUGCCUUGAAGACUUGGAACUAGAGAUUGAGACCAUAACCUCAUAUUUACAAUGCUUACCCAGGGAAUAAAUCAAGAGAAAAGUAGAGUCAUUUUCCCAUAGACUUCUAUGGUAAGAGAGGAGUCGCCCCUGGUGGUCACUUGAGAGAAUGCAGCUUUGAGACCCUUCAGCCCUGGCUUCACUCUUCAGACCCAGACAUGAAGCGUACGACUGAUCAGCCUCACUGUGACCUUUUGUCUUUGCUUGUUCAGACGACACAGACUCCCCCAGGAGAACAGUGGUGACUCCAAACUGUCCAGUGGGUUUUGUUCCUCUUAUUCUAUUCUUUCGCCUCCACAUUAAUCCCAUAAAUAUAUCCCAUCUCUUCAUAACUGCACAUAAAUCACUCUCCAUUUCUCCACUCUAUCGUUCUUACACAGCACCCUCCACGUGAACUCUCCGCUGGCAGGGGAUCCACUCAGGUGCCUCUCCAUGUGUGUGUGUGUGUGUGUGCGCAAAAGAAGCAUGUGUCUCGAGUGUGUUUAUGUGCUACAAUAGAGUCCUGUUUGUUUGCAGGGGGAAUCUGUGUGUGUGUGUGUGUGUGUAUGUGAGAGAGAGUCAGGUGUCGAGUUUACCCCCAGAUCGACCCAACCUGGGAAUGAUCUAGUCUCAGAGGGGGAAGCCAAAACUUCUCCACCAUGUAUGUGUGUGUGUGUGUGUGCGUCUAACCCAGAGAUGACUCACAAACCAUCUGGAGGCCAGAUGCAGGUUAGAAAACUACUCUCUCUCUACUCUGUCCCCUCCCUCCCUCCAGUUGCCAUUAGUUCCCUUAGUUAACCUGUGAACUUUGACCUGUGUGCUGUGCAUGUGUGUGAGUUCAUCCUGUGUGUGUCUGUGUGUGUCUUGUCCUGGUGUCCUGGUUAAGUCAACGACGGGGUUGUGACCUUUCUCAGCGGUUGCAAACUCUCCCUCGGUGACCCCCGGAGUUCAAGUUCACUAAUUGUCCCUCAUCCCAGUUAAACAGCCUCCAUCUUUCUCCCCCUUUGGCGGCUCCGCCUCCCUGUCACCUGGUACGUAGAUUAAGUCUGGGAAACAAGACAUUACUAAAAGGUCUUACAGGCCGGUCUCUGAGUUGUUUUCUAUUUAGUUCCAAUUGGCGUUUGUUAAAAAUGAGAUGUUUAAUUUGCCAGAAGAAAGACUCAGGACGUCCAAAAACAAGGAUUCAGAUAUCCGAAAUGAAUGCCAGGGAGUCCUCCCAGUACCUCCGGUUCACAUCUUACACGGCAUUAUGGGAGCAGCGGUUCCCCUGCGGAUGUACUCUGGGUAGUUAAAUCGAAAAGAAUGUGUCCCAUCGGUCCCCGGAGAGCAGAUGAUGACUCCGCAGACCUCAUGAGGACAACGUCUUACGCUUAACCGCAUAAGAACAAAGACGAUCCACCACAGCCCAUUCUUCUGGAGAUAAAACGGGCGUUUAUGUGCUGUCAUACGUUUCAAUACCGUCAAGACUUGAAAGUAAAUCAUCAAAAUAAUUGUGUGUGUGUUCGACUGACACCAGUAAACCAGUAAGAUGUAUCAUCAAUGUAACAAGACAACAGGAAUUCUGUCUAAUGCUCAGCCAAAUGUUCUAAAUUCGUCCCCUGAGAGGUCGAGUCUGUGCGCGGGCGGGACAACAUUGUUUUGAACACCAUCUUCGAAGUGUGAGCAUGUGGUGGACGCGUGAGGUUUGACAGGAGAUGACUGUAUCUCAGGUCCUGAUUGGACCUAAAGCUUUGGUUUUGGUAGGAGGGUGUUGAGGGGUUGCUGAAGGUCCGUUUUUAUAAGCUGUCGAGGCUCAAUCUGUGCAGGUGUGAGAAUGAAAGAAAGAGGCCAAACAAGGACUAGAUGGCAAACCGCCCUUCACUCCCACAGCAUUCCCAAAUUGGCCUCUAUAAACCCUUUGUUUUGGACACUUCCCUUCCUCAGCGCUCCACUGGAUGCUUUUAUUCUGAAGGGCCAUCAGAGGGGAAGCUAAACAGCUGGAUUGUGGAGUAGAAACAACCCCCCAAAAAGGGCCACAAACUACAUUCAGAUUCCAGCUGAGAUGAUCCCAGUUAGCUGCUGGUGGGAGGAGCUUUGCCUCUCCGCCACUGACCACGAGCCUAUCGGGUGGGAAACGAGACACAGGUUGGAUACCAGCUGAGAGAUCAGCAUAUCCAGAUGUUUUGGUAGAACAACAACCCCCAACAAUUAUUUUCCCUAGUUAUCUGAUGAACAUCUUUACUUUUACAACAUACAUUUGUCUCCUCAAAGUUUAGUGUUAUACUAAAUCACAUUAUCUGUUGUUCAAAUGUGAUUUCAUUAUAGUUUAUUAUACCACUGAAGAAUUUUAAUUUAAACCUGCUGACACACUAAAGAGGUUGUUGUAUUCCACUUGAAGUCUAGUUUUGAGGCUUUAAGCUGCAACUCAAACAGCAAAACAGUCUUUGAGAUAGAGUCCAAAUGUUUAAAGUCUAAAUCAAGUCUCUAGUCUUUGAUAAAGAGUCCAACUCAAAUGUCAAGCGUAAAGAGACAUCCCAUCAUAUGGAGGAGUGAAGGGAUUUCUUUACAAUAUCAAUAUCCAGGUUAAAUAUCCAUGGUCCUAACUGAGCAGCUGUCUUGUCAGAGGCCUCACUGGAGAACUGAUUUGGACAACAAGAGCGAAAUGUUGCAGGCGGACGUCGGCGCAAUCACAAAAAACUGCAGCACAACGUGGCCAAGAUGUCAAGAUGUCCGCCUCCAGCCACGAUGGUCCCGACCAAUCGUACGACUGUUCCUCAAUGCCGGGAUCCUCUCUCUCUCUCUCUCGCUCUCUCUCUCUCUCUGACAUUUCCAUGAACCAACUCUUGAUGUUCCUCAGAAGAACAGAGGAGAGGACGAGAGGACGGUUGAAAGACAGGGUUUGGGAAAAAGAAACAAUAGAAAUGUGCCGGGCAGAUGUCCCCCCCCCCACCCCCCUUCCCUUCUUUCCCAAUACUCCUGUUGAAACUGGGGUAAUAUCUCCGGUGUGUGCUGACACGUUUUGGGCAGUGACCAUUCAGGGGGAUUUUAACAGACAGAAACCCGAGUGGGCGCCCGCUACCGUGGGGGGGUGGAAAGACGACAGCAUGGAGUCCCGCCGGGAGAAGGACGUGUGACAGGAACCACCUUGUGAACUCAGCCUAAUUUGGGCAUUUUGUAGAACAUUUACUGCACACACGCAACAAAGAAAGGCCUCAGGAUGGAAAGGAGUUGUGUCAGAGCGUCCUGUAGGAACAAAGGAGAGUCGGGAAACAGACUGUAACUAUACGGCCGCCUGAAUGAAACACAUUCACUGAUGAUGUGUCCGAGUCAAGUUGGUGGUUUUUCCUCAGACCAAAAGUCAAAAGCUGCACGGAUCAAAUUCACAGUUAUCUAACAAAAGGGAACUUAACUGUAUUUACAGUGCGACAGUAAUGCAGCUGAAAUAACACCGGCUGGUGUCCAUCUUUUCCUUUGUGCUCUUCAGAUAGGAUUCUCCUCAUCAUGAAGGUCACACUUUGCACAACGCAGGCCUCACGCUCUUUGGCAGAAGCUCCCUGACCACCACGAAGGGGGAAAUACCAUUUCUGCUCAAAUGAAACACGAGUCCGGGCCAAGCGGCCGUCUUACUCUUUAAAAUCUCACUCCGGCUCGGUGGGGCCGAGCAGCGGAGCGACAUGAGAUUCUCAGAGAAUCGGUUCCGUUUCCCUGCGUUGGCUUCGGCUAACGAUGUUACCAAAGAAAACGUUUUGGACUUCCUGUACGGGAUCUAAUUUGGAAUAGAAAUGUAUUUUUUGUGUAUAUUCACCUGAUUUAAGGGCCUCUUUACGCAAUGCCAAGCCAGAACUCUCCUGGAUCUAGCUCCCUGUACUUCCCUAAAGUUCGCCAGCAUUUUCAGGACUUUGAACCACUUGCUCCUCAUUGUAUUACUCCAGUGUGUGAAUGAAGGACUCCGUCAUUUGUGAUAGACGCUCAGAAACAACAUAUUGAGAAAGAAAAGUUGAGCCAAACCUUUUGAUUUCCUGUUGUUGGGUACUUUCACGCUGAAAAUAUAUCAAAACGGUCUCAAAGCAGAAGCAAACGAACAUGUAGUUUCCUCCCGCUGCAUUGUGCGUCAACGUCCUACUACACUCUACGCUGUCAGAUCUGAUCCUUAAGGGACCAAAACUCCUGCCUCCCCAUUAGAAGGCGGUUUCCGCGCAAACACUGGUCCCUAAAACUUACCCGCUCUGGUUUCUGGGAUGUGCCAACGAAAUGAAAUUCUCCCUGAAACCCAAACAUUCAGUCCGCCGACUACAAAUGUGUCAAGGACGUGUUUGUUUGCAGAAAAUGUGUAAUUACACAGUUUCACAGUCCGUUUACUGUGGGACUCGAACACCUCUUCCGCCACCGAGCUCAAGAACUUUACUUCGCUCACUUUUACUUUCACGUAGGUGUUUAGAGAGGGAGCGAAUUAGAGGGAAUUAUGAAGAGGAGAAAGAAAUGGAAGACAGACAUGCAUUAGCACAUUGUUACUGCAGUGGCCAGUCAGUCUGGGAACCCGUAAUAACCCUUCAACACUAAUGACAAAACCACACACAUGCACGCGCGCACACAGUCUCGAGGUCUCUCCUCCGCCUAUGUAUCUCGUCUCUCUGUAGUCACUUCUACGUCCUCCCUCCUUCUCUAUGGCGCACACACACACACACACACACACACAAAUACAUGAGCGGUGUUGCUGUGUUGAUGGUAAUACCAGGGUUAUUGGGAGGGGAGAGAGUAAUUCCCUCUGACAGCCCCAUUAAGGGAUGAAAUACCACCACUACUAAAAAACGACUUGGGUUUCACUUGUGACGCCGCACCAGCCUACAUUCGAUUUUUCUGGGUUAUUUUGAGGGCAAUCUGGAGCGGCAAAAUGGCAUGAAAAACUAAAAUAAAAAUGAAUACGUCGGUGUUUGUCGCGUUCGGGACGCCCAAGUGUUCGCCCGCCAAUUCCUUUUGCCCGCGUAUUUCUCCGUCAGCAGGAAAUCUAUAUGGCACUGGUUGUUUUCACUCUGGCUCAAGAGUUGCUUAUAAAUCACGGAUGAAGAGUGGACCACCGGCUCCGACUCAAAAACACGGUGGACCGGAGAGUAAAUCAGGGUCAGGUGGGCUUCAAUAAGCAGCCUUAACAAUCGCCAUCCAUCAACCGGAUUUCUUUAUGAAAAUAAAAAGAGAAAUCUGAGAUGUUCCAGCUUAUAGGCUCGUCACUUUUGUUUUACACCACAAAUUAACCCAAAGUGUCUUUAUACAGGCCAGAUUUUUAAUAGUACAUGAUUGGACCUCGACCAUGUUGCUGACAUCUGUGUUAACAGAAUUUACCACUGUGGAUGUGGUGUGUGUAAACACUGCUAACCCACCAAUGACUCCAAACCAACAUAAGCAUUACCUAAAGGGAGAACAUUAGUUGGGUAUUUACAAGCAGAGGCAGAGGAACAUUGGCAUUUGCUUGAAGCUGUGUUCAAAGCUACUUGAUGAAUUUUAGUGGAACGCUCACUUUCCUUUUAGCUCUGGUUCGGUCUCCUCCAACGGAAAA